RNAcentral lists this unclassified non-coding RNA (223 nucleotides) under Hevea brasiliensis (rubber tree). Lineage: Eukaryota; Viridiplantae; Streptophyta; Magnoliopsida; Malpighiales; Euphorbiaceae. The record is from RNAcentral.
GCCGACAUCCCCCGUCUGUUGCUCACCAAAAAUAUUGCCAAAUCCUCUAAUAGCCAUGUCUCUUUCUGCAAGCUGAAAACCUUGACCAAGUUCACAGCACUCUUCAAGAGCAGCAAGUCUCUCUAGUGCAUGGUCUGAAAGAAGUGAUUUGUCAGGAUAGAAUAAAUGUGCAUGAGCUUCCUUAUCCGCCCGUCCGACCCUUCCACGCAACUGAUACAAUUGU